Molecule: ribosomal RNA, 510 nt
Filed under: uncultured bacterium
Lineage: Bacteria
Description: bacterial SSU rRNA
Rfam family: Bacterial small subunit ribosomal RNA
Source: RNAcentral
GACGAACGCUGGCGGCGUGCCUAAUACAUGCAAGUCGAGCGGACCAAAGGGAGCUUGCUCCUGGAGGUUAGCGGCGAACGGGUGAGUAACACGUGGGCAACCUGCCUGUAAGACUGGGAUAACAUCGAGAAAUCGGUGCUAAUACCGGAUAAUAAAAAGAACUGCAUGGUUCUUUUUUGAAAGAUGGUUUCGGCUAUCACUUACAGAUGGGCCCGCGGCGCAUUAGCUAGUUGGUGAGGUAACGGCUCACCAAGGCAACGAUGCGUAGCCGACCUGAGAGGGUGAUCGGCCACACUGGGACUGAGACACGGCCCAGACUCCUACGGGAGGCAGCAGUAGGGAAUCUUCCGCAAUGGACGAAAGUACUGACGGAGCAACGCCGCGUGAGUGAUGAAGGUUUCGGAUCGUAAAACUCUGUUGUUAGGGAAGAACAAGUGCCGUUCGAAAGGGCGGCACCUUGACGGUACCUAACGAGAAAGCCACGGCUAACUACGUGCCAGCAGCCGACGG